GCCCUGCACAGUGAGGUCGUGGCGCCCGGCACCUGCCACCUGUGACUGGGAUGAAGGGCUCGAUCAGAACCUGUCUGCCGGUUUCCCCGUGCGACGAUUAACCACCACCCCCUCCAUAACCCGUGUGUUUUCCAGAAAGGGGCUCAGUGCCUCAGGCACACCUUGAGAAACACCUCCAUUUUCAAAGGAGACCAUGAGUUUCCUGCUUGCCCACAUGUAUUUCAUUGUACUACUGGCAACUGUCAUCUCUUAUAAAUGAGGUUCAUAAAUAGUUGUUCCAGCUUAUGGAAUUCUGGAGAAAAAAGCUUCCAGAACAGUGAUAUGGUGCACUUCCCACAAAAUGAGACAAGCUGAAGACACCUGUGAGUAUCAACCCUCAUUUAUGACAG
Molecule: long non-coding RNA, 389 nt
Filed under: Homo sapiens (human)
Lineage: Eukaryota; Metazoa; Chordata; Mammalia; Primates; Hominidae
Description: HSALNT0067560
Source: RNAcentral